Molecule: long non-coding RNA, 3597 nt
Filed under: Homo sapiens (human)
Lineage: Eukaryota; Metazoa; Chordata; Mammalia; Primates; Hominidae
Description: HSALNT0390465
Source: RNAcentral
CUGAGAUCGCAUCACUGCACUCCAGCCUGAAUGACAGAGUGAGACAGUCUCAAAAAACAAACAAACAAAACCCAACUUUGGGUCACGCAUCCAUCCUUGACCAAUUAGCUGUAGCUAGGGAAGUGGAGUCCUACGGACACAGCAAACCACCACGAGAAUCAUGGAGAUGAAUAGGGGCAGGAUAAUUUACCAGAGGAAGCCUAGAGUGGAGUGCUGGACAGACCACCAUGUGGAGUUGCCAUCUGAGGACAUUGCUACUUGGAUACCCCCACAGGACGCCCAGCCAGGCAUGAUGACUCACAUCUGUAAUCCCAGCACUUUGGGAGGCUGAGGCAAGAGGAUUGAGGCCAAGAGUUCAAGACCAGCCGGGGAAGCAUAUCCAGCCGAGCUGCCAUCUCUUCAAGGAAGUUUUCCCUGAAGCCCUCAGGUAGACCCGUUUUUCCAUGGCGGCCACAUCAGCAUGCAGCACAUUUAAUUGGAAGUCUCCACAUAUGAGUUGGUUUUCCUUACUUAAAAUAUGCUUAUCAUCCCUUGGAGCACUUGAAAAUAUUGGCUAUUUCCUUCUGACCCCCAUGGUUUCUUUUAAAAAAUUUGCUGUUGUUUGAAUUAUUUUUCUCUACAGGUAUUGACUGCUGCCUCAUGAAGGCUGGUCCUGUCUCUAUAGUGAAUAUUGUGCACCUCAGGGUAGAAUGGAGAGCAGAAGACUUCAAAUCAGGCAGUCUGGGUUCAGACCCCAAUUCUAGUGCUAAAUAGCUACGUGACUUUAGGCCGAUUGUGUGUGACUUCCCUGAGCCCCAGUCUCUUUGCCUGCAAAAUGAGAAAAAUUAUAACAAUGUCAUCGGUUGUUCUGAGGAUUCUGAGAGGAAUUAGUAGGAGAGAGAACUAAGAAGCUGCGGGCCUCUACAGAGCCAUUCAACUGGCAUUUCGGAAGAUGUUGCCCAUCAGAGUCAGACCUUCUUAGCAUCUUCCGGCUGGGCCCAAACUUCCCAAGACCAUUUGGACAAGGUCAUCUCUAUCCCACCAUGGCCUCCUCCCAGAGGAGGAGAAGAAUCAUGCUGUUACAGCAGAACCGAAGAUUUGGGCAAGGGAGCUAAUGAUUAUGUUCUGCGUCAGGUCAGAGAUGGGCUGGGAAAGCCACUCCAAAGCCAAGACAAGCAGUUUCCUGGAAAAAGAAGGCUGCGCGGAGCCCAGAGUGGCCUGGAUCCUGCCUCAUUUCCUGGACCAGCUCCUUAGGUGGUUACUGGAUUGCCAAUAAAGCAGAGCUUAUUAAAGUCAACGAGCUCAGGCUUCAUCGCCGCCAUGGUAUCCAAGCACCAGUCUGUCUGGGAUUUCAUUUGCCAGAUGGACAAAGGAGAGGUUGUUCCAAUACAUAUCCUGAGUGGUGGGGGUGGGGAGAGAAGGGGAAGAAUGCUCUCUAGAGAAUUCUCUUUGUCCUCUGAAGUAAAUAGAGAUCAUGUCUUCCCCAGCCACACUCAGUGAUCUGAAUCUCUUGGACUGUGGAUUUUUCCUUUACCUGCUGUGAAGCCUUGAAAAGUAUGAAUUAGCUUGAUAAUGAUCCUCUAAAGAUGUUCAAGAGUUAAAGACGUGUUUAAGUUCUUCAGGCAAUCCAAUAUGACUACGGGUUUCCAAAAAUUUGAAGGAAACUGAAAAUCAUAGUUCCCAAACCAGAUAUUUUCCGGUGUCCAGAUGUUCACUGGCAUGCAAACCAAAUGUCUGGAUUAUGAGCUCCUUUUUUCAUUUCUUUUUAUCAGCUUACAUCCAGAUGUUGGAUCCAACUGGUCAGAGGCCUGGGGCAGAGACAGAAAUCAAAUCUAGGGUGUUCAUCUAGAGUCUCCUGCUCCUCCAUUCCUGCUUCCUCCUCACGCUGCCCCCACAUCCUCCCCAACUCACCUUCAUGCUACAUCUCGGCAAAUACAGCUCAUAUCCAGGCACGGUGCAGCCCUUGACAGCUGGGUCCGCAAAGGCAGAUCGGGUAUAUCUUUAAAGAAAAGUUAUCUUAACCAUUGAGAAGCCUUCCUUCCUCAGAGGAGAGCACCUCCCCAGCAGACCUCCGAGGAGACCAAGGGCAGGACAGGAAGGGUGAAAGGAAGUUUCAGGACUGCAGGAAAUAAGAGCUUGGAGGUCAAGGGAGAGAUCAGAUAAAACAUGAAUCUGAUCAGCAUCCUAGUGGUCUAGAGUGGAGACAAUCUGCGGAGUCAACCUCAGUAAGGACACACAUAGAGAAGAACCAAAGCCUCUAAAGACGAAGCUGAGAAGUGUACGGUCGUAGAAGACUCGUGUCUGUUAUUCUUAAAAGCUCAAGGAGAUGUUCUGCCAAUUGAAUGGAAACUGUCCAUAGUGGGGAGCAGAGAGCCUCAUCUUUUCUGGAACUGAACAUCCAUCCUUAAGGCCAGAUUUCUCCCAUCACCAACUUUAACUCCUGCCCUAGCCCUCUCUCUUCCUUUUCAAAACCCUCUCCACCCAGGAAGGGAGAUUCUGGAGCCAAGACUGUACCAGCCACACCUCCCCAGAGUUGUUAAGGAAGGAACUCGAAGCCAGGGGUGGUCUUCUGGCAAGCACCCCCACUACCAGUAGCAGGACAGAUGUGUUUCUAAUGGACUACACUAUCCCCGGAGGUCACAUGAUUCAGGCUGCCAAGGGUACCUGCCCUUGGGAAAUCAACUCCCGAAGAUAAAUUGGGAUUGGGUCCUGAGAAGAUCCAUGGAAGCCCAGAGGACCCUGCCUCUCUCUGUUGCUUCAUGCUGUAGAGGCAGUACUGGGGAGGGCCUGCCCCACAUCCGGCAGGGCAGCUGGAACCAUGUGUUUGAUGACACUCUGCUCCCUCAAUGUGGAGCCUCAUCCUCAUCUCACAGUCUAGCAGGCCUCUGGUGGGUUAGGCUUGUCUCACCCAGUGUGUGAGUUUUUUUGGAAGUGACCUGAUUUUGGAGUUUCCCUCCAAGCCUUUCUCAGGUACAUGCUUUCUCUUUUAUUCUGUCUUCUUUUUUUGAUCUUCUUAAAUCUGAUUUUCUCCUUUUUCCCUCUCUUGUCUCCAUCUUUUUUCCAGUCUCUCGCUUCUCUUUAUUUCUCCCCAUAUUUCACUCUGUUCUCUCACCCCAACCUUUCCCUUCUGUUUCUCUCCCUCCCUCUCUUCCCACCCCCUGCCUGGCCUUCCAUAUAUCAAGCAGAGUUUUAUCACCUUAUGCAGGGGCAGCCCUGCCACCUGCCAUAAAGUUGAUAGGCUAAUGACAUUUUGUGGAUAUUGCCAUGUCACAAGUCCAGGACAGCAUCAAAAAUAGCCCUGAUGUCUAAACCACUUCAGCUAUCUUUUUUAUUUUUAAAAUAAAUACAUUCACAUGCUUUUAAGAAACUAUAAAAAUAUAUAAAGUAAAAAGAUCUUUCUCUCACACUGUCUCCACCUCUCCUGGUCUCACCGUUGUGCUUAGGGGAAACCAUUGUGAUUAGUUUCUCCUGUGUCCUUCCAGAGUGUCUUUAUGCAAAUGAAAAUUAUUGUGAUAAUAUAUUCCUAUUUUCCCCCUUACUACACAAAAGAUAGACUACCAUAAUCCCAUUCUGCACUUUUUUUUCACUUGAUAAUAAAAACAUGAUUUUAUUAAUGGG